Molecule: long non-coding RNA, 222 nt
Filed under: Elaeis guineensis (African oil palm)
Lineage: Eukaryota; Viridiplantae; Streptophyta; Magnoliopsida; Arecales; Arecaceae
Description: long non-coding RNA (EGUI_LNC036675)
Source: RNAcentral
CACAGCUCAAGGAUAAAUAAAAGUAAGAACAGCAAAGUCAAGCAACAACAUAAUAAGUCCUAGACAUAGAAUAUCUACUCCUCUUCAAAAAGAAACUCAAUGAUAGGUGGAGAAAAAGAUGAGGAGGGGGUAGUUCUCUUACUUGGAUCCCUGCAGAGGGCCCAGAGCUAAGAGAAGGAAAGCCAGAACUAGUUCUAACAAUAGAACUUAAGGGUGGUCAGG